CUCAGAUAGCUGAGAGUGUGCAAUAUUCUUAGACUGCACAGAGUAUAUGGGCACAACUCGAAACCAGAUAUGGUACAGCUAAUAGAACCAAAAUUUUUGAACUUAAAAGAAAACUCUCUCACACUUCUCAAGGACCCUAGAUAUAGCAUCAUAUUUUAACAAACUCAAAGGGUUGUGUGAUGAGUUAGGAGCAGUAUGUACAAAUCAUAGCCAAAGAUGUAUCUGUGCUGCCAAAACUGGCAUCAUACAUGAGGAUGAGGAGAAUAAGGUGUUUCAAUUCCUCAUGGUCCUUAAUGAGAUAUAUAUGGGGGUAAGGAGCAACUUGCUGGUGAUGCAGCCUCCCCCUACCCUCGACAGUAUCUAUAACAUUCUCAUCAAUGAUGAAAAACAAAGACAAGUUCGGUCUAUUUCCCAGUUCAAUCUUGAUUGUAUGUCCUUCAUUGUCAACACAAACAAAAAUUCUACACCUUCUUUUGGAAUGAGUCAAGUUGCAGUGCCCAACUCUUCUCCUCUCAGACAGUAUACCCAAAGAGUUACUUUUGACCAAUCCAGAGGACCUCUCUUCUGUAGAUAUUGCAAGAAGUCUGGGCACUUAAUUGAUAAGUGUUACAAACUUCAUGGAUUUCCUCAGGACCUCUAUUCUGUAGAUAUUGCAAGAAGUCUGGGCACUUAUUUGAUAAGUGUUACAAACUUCAUGGUUUUCCACAAAGCACCAGGCUUAACAAAGGGAAGAGAACUGUUGUUGCCCAUGUAACCACUGGUGCUGAUUUCGCCUCCUUCACCUCUUUUGAUGGAUACACAUCUAAUGUUCCUGGAAAUUCCAUUGAGGGUAACUCUUAUGUCCCAAAUGUGGAUAGACAAGGAUCUGUAAUCCCUGGCUUGAGCAGACAACAUUAUGAUCAACUAAUGACUCUGCUGCAACAGAUUAAGUUGGGGGACUCUACUGCUCAGACCCAUCCUCCUACGUGUGCUGCCAAUUUUACUGGUACUAUGCUAACUGAGAGUCUUGUUUCUGAUUCCAAACUUUGUCUGCUUACUCAUAUUGCUUCUGUUUCCUGGAUAAUAGAUUCAUGGGCUUCUGAUCAUAUGAAAUCUAAUAAAAGCUUACUUGUUAAUAUCACACCCUUAACUGUACCUUAUCUUGUAACCCUUCCUAAUGGAUACAAAGUGAAAGUGACUUCCACAUGCUCUUUUGCAUUAACUCCAUCCAUUACUCUUCAUAAUGUACUGUUUGUUCCCU
RNAcentral lists this long non-coding RNA (1240 nucleotides) under Nicotiana benthamiana. RNAcentral describes it as "long non-coding RNA (NBEN_LNC017571)". The record is from RNAcentral. Lineage: Eukaryota; Viridiplantae; Streptophyta; Magnoliopsida; Solanales; Solanaceae.